Zingiber officinale is the source of this 2061-nucleotide long non-coding RNA. RefSeq lists it as uncharacterized. The record is from RefSeq and is a predicted model, not a curated record. The transcript has 4 exons. NCBI's taxonomy places the organism in Eukaryota, Viridiplantae, Streptophyta, Magnoliopsida, Zingiberales, Zingiberaceae.
CCUCCGUAUACUGUCGCGACGCCACCACCACUUUCCUCCUCACUGCUGGUCGUCCGAUCAUCUUUCUCAGCCUCAUCUCCCUCUUCUCCUUCCUAGAUCGACGCCCUUUCUCCCGAUCAAGAUCAACACACGACGCCUUGCUUCUCUUCCAACCACACCGCAUCUCCUCCAACUCACGAUCAGGACCUUUGCAACCAUAAAAUUUCCUCCCGGUGUUCCUGUCUUAUCACGAUCUCACGCCGUCCCCCUUUCAUUUUUUUUGUUCACCUAAACUUCCCCUCACAGCUUCUCCUUUCCUCUCCACAACACAGAUCUUCUUCUAUCACCGAUAAGGGGGUCGUCGACGAGGAGGCUAGCGACAAGGAGGCUGCGAGCGUCGACUGCAUGAGAGGAUUCUGGAGUUGCUCUCGCACGGUCUGAAGAACGUGAUGAAGUACGUGCUGGUGACAGGGGGAGUGGUGAGUGGGCUAGGGAAAGCGGUGACGACGAGCUGCAUCAGAGUCCUCCUCAAGUCGUGCAGAGUCCAAGUCACCCUUAUUAAAAUCGGUGCUUGCCUCAAUUCCACCCAGUUUAUGUUCCAAACUGUGGUUUUCUUUCAUGUUUCCAAUGCCAUUUCUUUGCCUUGAUUCCACCUUUAAUAAAACCUCAUGUUGUGCUUUUAUGUUCCCAUAAGUGGUAAGGGAAGAGAGGGGUCCUUAUAGAGAUCCUCAGCAUCCAUAUUUUUUAUGAAGAAGAUGAUGUGUAGAUGGCUCCCGGAUUCGUCAAUCAAUUUUAUGAUGUUCCAAAUUACUGGAAGACAUAUGUUGAAGAAGUAUAUCAGAAAAGAGGGAUGUGGCUGAACUCUUUCUGUAAAGCACCUCUAAGACUUCCUAUGCCUGCUGAGCUUGAAUAUUGGUGGGAGAAAGGUUUUAGUUUCUUUCUUUAUUUAUGUCAUUGCCACAGUUUUGACAUUGAUGUUCCUAAUCCUUUGUGCAUCACCCAUUAGUCACAUUUGUUGGUUGCAAUGUAUGCUCUUGAUAAGUCUUCAGAAGCUCAAUACUGUUAGUUUUUUUCCUUUCUUUAUUUUCUUGUAUACUUUAUAUGAAUUGUUUUAAUAGUUUGUGUAACCUUUGCUUACUAUUUCAUGCAUACUCUAAAAUAAGCUGUUAGGUUGGAAGGCUUUUGGGCACUCGUCAUGCUGCCUUUGGAAAUCCUGUCCUUGUUUCUUCAUUUUUUGUUUCUAUCGGGAGAGUAAGCGUUUAUUUAAAUCUUCAGUUUUCUUUUGUCAAUUUAAACAUAAGCUCCUUCCUUUAUUUGUUUCGAGGUCAUGUCUGUUGUACUAAAAUGGAAACUGUAUUAUGUUGUCCCCUCUGUAAUAGACAAAGAUAGGAUUAUAGGAAAACUACAUAUACUCAAUUUGUCACAUAUUCUGCUUAGUUUUGGAUGGAAAGAGUUCUGGACUUGCAUUUACAUACAAGAGUGACUAAUUAAUAACUGAUUCUUAAACUCAGAUUAAUGCAGCUGAAGUGAGCUACAAAGAGAGCUUAGAUAUGUUUGAUGCCACUAGGGACAAAGGCUUGCUGCCUAAUGUUAUCAAGAGGUUGCCCAUGUUUAAGCUAAGUUAUGAUGAGAUCAUUAAUUCAUGUGGGAGGAAUGCAUGUUGUGCCGUCUACUUUCAGGAUUUCAUUGAUGGAGAUACUGCAAGGAUGAUGCCGAUGUGUAACCACAUUUUCCAUGUGGUGUGCAUUGAUGUGUGGCUUGUGAAGCAUGAUUCCUGCCCUACUUGUAGACAAGAGGUUCUGCAAUUUGAGGUUUCUUGGGUGGAUUCUCUCUCUCUUUUCUGAAUAAAACAUUACAUAAUCUUGAGAAAGAAAAAAAUAUUUUUAAGGCUUCGAAUGGGUGGAUGAAUGAAAAUUAAUAGAUGGAUGAACAAAUGAAUAUUAUUUAGUUUAUGUUUUUCCAUCUAGUAUCCCGAUCUAUUAGAUACAUGCUUAGUCGAGAUUUAAACUCUUCAUUCAAAAUCUAACAGAUGUUGUGAAGUGAUACUUGAUUGCAAAAGUAGGCAUCUAUCAAAAUUAAACA